This is a non-coding RNA of Ceratotherium simum simum (southern white rhinoceros), 197 nucleotides long. The record is from RefSeq and is a predicted model, not a curated record. NCBI's taxonomy places the organism in Eukaryota, Metazoa, Chordata, Mammalia, Perissodactyla, Rhinocerotidae.
UUUACUAUCAGUGGUUCUCAAUUCUGGGUUGUGAGAAAGACAGAAAAAGGAGUAGGCUCAUCAGAAUCACCUUGGGCAGGCUUUUCAAAAAGUGUACAUGUCUAUCUCUCUUCUAGCUUCUCAUGGGCAUUCCCUGUUGAGAGUCACUGUCUUAAACCUUAUGAUUCAAGUAGUUUAGUCCCAUUAACUGAUACAGA